GUUGAGGCUGAAAGGUUAUGCAAGAACAUUAGUUACUGACUGAGCUGAGAUGAGAAAUUGACAUUACUCUACAACAAAGAAUCGAUUAAGAGGGAGUUAUAAUCGAUUAUGAGUCGUCAUUUGGUUUGAAGUUUCUGAACUUCUGAUUUAUAAAAUUUAAACCAUGACUUAUUAUCCGUUAUCUGUUUAUUCAUCUUAUAUCUCAAUGUUUUUAAUCCGCUGUGAAUAUGAGUUGAGAUUAUAAGUGAUUAAACUGUUUUGAUUGGUUCAUAAUAUGUCAAACUGCUCUGAUAUGAUAUGAUUUAAAUUACUCUGAUACAUUGUUUGGACAUAUAUGAUUGAUACAUACU
RNAcentral lists this long non-coding RNA (350 nucleotides) under Vigna radiata. RNAcentral describes it as "long non-coding RNA (VRAD_LNC004666)". The record is from RNAcentral. Lineage: Eukaryota; Viridiplantae; Streptophyta; Magnoliopsida; Fabales; Fabaceae.